RNAcentral lists this ribosomal RNA (386 nucleotides) under Pseudoalteromonas-like bacterium S3C13. Its description in RNAcentral is "bacterial SSU rRNA". It matches the Rfam family "Bacterial small subunit ribosomal RNA", at positions 594 to 982 of the family's 1533-position model. Lineage: Bacteria; Pseudomonadati; Pseudomonadota; Gammaproteobacteria. The record is from RNAcentral.
GUGAAGGCCCCGGGCUCAACUUGGGAACUGCAUUUCGAACUGGCAAACUAGAGUGUGAUAGAGGGUGGUAGAAUUUCAGGUGUAGCGGUGAAAUGCGUAGAGAUCUGAAGGAAUACCGAUGGCGAAGGCAGCCACCUGGGUCAACACUGACGCUCAUGUACGAAAGCGUGGGGAGCAAACAGGAUUAGAUACCCUGGUAGUCCACGCCGUAAACGAUGUCUACUAGAAGCUCGGAACCUCGGUUCUGUUUUUCAAANUAACGCAUUAAGUAGACCGCCUGGGGAGUACGGCCGCAAGGUUAAAACUCAAAUGAAUUGACGGGGGCCGCACAAGCGGUGGAGCAUGUGGUUUAAUUCGAUGCAACGCGAAGAACCUUACCUACACUU